CGGAGUGUGGCUCAGUCUGGUCUAGAGCGUUGCGUUCGGGACGCAAAAGUCGGAGGUUCAAAUCCUCUCACUCCGACCA
RNAcentral lists this transfer RNA (79 nucleotides) under Lentisphaeria bacterium. RNAcentral describes it as "tRNA-Pro". It matches the Rfam family "tRNA". From Rfam's summary of the family: Transfer RNA (tRNA) molecules are approximately 80 nucleotides in length. Their secondary structure includes four short double-helical elements and three loops (D, anti-codon, and T loops). The record is from RNAcentral. Lineage: Bacteria; Pseudomonadati; Lentisphaerota; Lentisphaeria.